UGCAAGUGAUGUGAUGGAAUAUUUGCUAUCUGAGCUGCUCUGCUGACAGUCCUACCCACCAAGAUCUCUGAUGCA
This 75-nucleotide small nucleolar RNA is filed under the name Xenopus laevis (African clawed frog). Its description in RNAcentral is "Small nucleolar RNA SNORD24". It matches the Rfam family "Small nucleolar RNA SNORD24". Rfam says of the family: U24 is a member of the C/D class of snoRNA which contain the C (UGAUGA) and D (CUGA) box motifs. The record is from Rfam by way of RNAcentral. RNAcentral also lists the same sequence under 1 other name. Lineage: Eukaryota; Metazoa; Chordata; Amphibia; Anura; Pipidae.